ACAAUAGCUGAGGUCAUGCAUGAAGCUUGAUUUCUCAUGUCGUGUAAUCUUACAAAAGUACUAUACAAAACAAAACAAUGUGGCAGUUGUUACUAUUAGAUAAUUAUGAGACUUUGGACCUUUUUGCCAAAAGUCAUAAUUAAAACACACCACUUCUUAGUAGGCAGUGUUAGUUGGGUAUUUUUCUCUAAUGUCUGCUUGUUCUCCCUGGAAGGUCAUUCUUUUAAAUAGUGCAUUGAUAAUUUCAUUCACUGUAGAACAUGUAUGAUGAAUUUAGGUCAUAUUAAUUUUAAGAGAAGCACCCUCUCAGGAGCUAAUGGAUGGGGCUAUAGUGGACUACAAAAUACAGUCAAGUGCCUUGCACAUAAAAUUAAACAGGGUUUCUUUUGUGAGGUGCUCACACUUUGAGUUGAUGUUUGUUAUUGUUUGGGUUUCACAGGAGCCCUGUGUUUCAACAUUUCUUUAACUACUCAUAGGGCAGAAGAGCUCUGUGUGCUCAUAACCCAACCUGCAUUAUCUUGAUUCAUAGCAAAUUACCAUUAAGAUUAAAAUGCAACUGAUUUCCUCUCUGGCUCACUCCUUACAAUGAUGCUGGAAGUUCACCUAAACAAAGGAUUUGCAAAUGUUAAAGCUGGAAAGAACUUUAAAUUCUCUUUCUCCAGCUCAGAUUCUUCAUUUACCUGAUGAGAAAACGGAGUCCUAGAGAAAGGAGAGGGCUUACGACCCAGCAUGUCACUUAAUCUACCCUUCCUACCCCUAGUUGCAAAGGGAAGAGAGAAAUUCCUUUCCCACCUACUUCUCAGAAUCGCUGUAAGGAUAAAAUUAGAUAAAGUACGCAACAUUUUUGAGAAUAGCAAAGUAAGAGUAAAAUAAAAAUAGUAAGAGUGAUGAUUGUAAAGAUAUCAUUUAUUGAAUAUUUGGUAUGAACUGGGCACUGUAUUACAUAUAUGAUCUCACAAAUCAUCAUAACCCUACCAUAGACAUGUAUUUAUUAUCCCCAAUUAAAAAUGAAGGAACUGGGGAGUGCCCAUGGUGGCUCAGCAGUAAUGAACCCAAGUAAUAUCCAUGAGGAUGCAGGUUCAAUCCCUGGCCCCGCUCUGUGGGUUGAGGAUCCCAUGUUGCCACGAGCGGUAGUGUAGAUGGCAAACAGCUUGGCUCAGAUACCAUGUUGCUAUGUGGCUGUGGCGUAGACUGGCAGCUGCAUCUCCCAUUUAAUGUCUAGCCUGGGAACUUCCAUAUGCCCUGGAUGUGGCCCGAAAAAAAAAGCUACCUAGUAGCAGAACUAAGAGUGAACCUUAGGGAAUCCAACAUUAAACAAAAGCUCUUUGGCUUUACUUACAGCCCAAGGAUUCACACUGGAAUCCAUACUGGACCAUAAUUGUCUUAUUCUCAGGGUUUUCCCAUUGUUAUAAAUUAGUUUCAUAAAGUUCUUUUGGAAGCAGAGAAAAUGGAAACUGCCUAUCCCUUUCUAGGCUUAAUUUGAUGUAUUAUUUACCUUGAACACUGGAGUUUUCAUUAAGAAUGAAAAAUAGACAAGUUUCUGACAUUGCUAUAGAUGUUUUCAGACCAGUGCUAUGGUUUUCUAUUUGCUGUAUAUUUUGCCAAUUGAGCCUCUAAGUGUCCAGUGCUAUCACUCUAAAUAAACCUCUCCUCAUUCUGUUCUGCUUCCUUGCUGCAAGAAGCAUGAAGCUGUAAACUGCCUAUCAGGAAUUUAGAGAAGAACCCAAUGAUCAUGGCAAUGGAAUCUGUAUGUGUGCUGGCUGCGCCUGUGCCAGAUGAUGUUAAAAGGCUGCCACCUUCUGUUUAGCCCAAGUGUUGCUGAGGCAACUUUCCCACAGCUUCCCUAAGAGUCCUCUAAGCUGAUUUACACUGAUUCCGAAUUGCACUUCUGCAAUAUAUAACAUGACAAGUUAAACGCAAAGCCUGCCAAAAAAUCUUGAUAGGCUCAGCUUUCGUGCUACGGCACUUGAAAAGACCAUUACGACUGCCAUCCCCCUAAAGUGUGCUCAAUAUUUUUUGACAGUGAAUUAUCUAAGCAGCAGUUUAUCUCAGCAUUCAUGGAAUGGGGGUGGGGGUUUUGCCCUUUAAAGAUUCAAAAGAGGAAGAUAAAGGGGGUGGGGUAGGGAUAUUUUCCAUUGUUCAAGUGGUAAUGGAUUACUCCAAGGGUUUCCAGAUGUUGCAAGGGCUCUAGUUUUAUACUCAGGUGCGUUUUCUGCUGAGACUUACAAGAAAUGAAACACAUUAUGGGCAGGAUCCUAGACUGUAAGCAAAGGAAUAACACCAGCAUCUGAAUUUUUCUCUGAGAGGUUAUAUGAAAGAGAUACCUUGUGCCUGACCCCAGUAAGCUGAGCCUCCAGCAGCUGGCUUAUCAAGGACAAUCACCUCUUGCUUUAUCAGCACUAAGCUAUUGUUUUCUUCAGGACACGAACCCUACAGCAAUCACUGACACCAUAUAGUGUGUUCCAUCUGGAGCUCUGCCAGCCUGAAAUCCCGCCCCUAACUUCUCCCCACAAAGUGAGGGUGGGGCUCCAUUUUAUUUCAGUAACACAGCCCAGCAAAAUUAGCUUUGCCCAGGGUCACUUUAAUAACUAGCACAUGAGCACCUCCAUCCAUGUGUAUACGCUUAGGUCUGGGUGAGUUGGGUCUCUUUACAUGGUUAAAAUACUAGGGAUUGUUUACAAAAGCUGGAAAAGUCAGGGAUGGAAAAUAGUUCUAGAGGCCAGAACUAUCCAGUUAAGUGCUUACUGACCAGAUUUUUAUUGACUAAGAAACAUAUGCCUAAUAAAUCUAUGACUACACUCACAUCUUCUCAGUCUAAAAUUAUCUAUGUAUUUAUGCAUCUUUCUAGUUUUAUGUCUCUUGCUACAGGACAUAAAAGAAACAAACAGAUAAUUAUAUUUCUUCCUGAAACCUUAUAGAAAAAAAAAAUUGCUCACUCUCCCAAUUUCCUUCUAAUACAGAUAUUUUUAAUGUCAUUAUUUCUUUUAUCUCACUUAUGCAUCAUUUUUCUAGAAAUGCUUCUCUGUAUAUUAGGAGUCUUACAUAUGCUAGAUAUUUAACAUUAGUAGGAGACAAUCUCACUGAUCUUGGAUUUUGCAGAUUCCCAAACUAAUAACUUAAUUGCAAAUAUUUUCCAAUAUAAAUGCAGUAAAACAAGAUUUUCAUAGGGGGAGGGGAGAUCCUAUGUUCAAAAACAAUGAAGCUAAGUGCAAGGAUGCUUUGUAAUCCUAUAGUCGACAUUCAUACAGAGACUAAUCUCCCUACAGCCUUGAUUGAAACCAUGUCAGCAGAAUCCCUGCUAGAGGGACUUGGAUGGUAGAGUCCUUGUACUUUUCAAGAGUUAAUGCCCAGGGGUCAGGCACUUCUUCUGGGCCACAACUUAGGAAAUCUCAGGUGGACCUAAGGCCACAACAAUUCAGGAGAAUACUAUUUUCCCACCUUCUUUUUUAAAUCCAUGACUCUUAUACCUUUUAGUAAAAUAUUUGCAUCUUCAGUUUCUUCAGGUUGAGCAAAUACAAGCACUAUUUCCUGGUGCUCUGAUUUUAUUCAAAGACUUUAACAGUAAUCUGUCUUCUCUUGAUAAUACAGCUUUGAUCAUUCCCACUCAAUUUUACUGACUAG
This 3621-nucleotide long non-coding RNA is filed under the name Sus scrofa (pig). Its description in RNAcentral is "lncRNA (ENSSSCG00035004497.1)". Lineage: Eukaryota; Metazoa; Chordata; Mammalia; Artiodactyla; Suidae. The record is from RNAcentral.